RNAcentral lists this transfer RNA (75 nucleotides) under Neogoniolithon spectabile. RNAcentral describes it as "tRNA-Phe". It matches the Rfam family "tRNA". From Rfam's summary of the family: Transfer RNA (tRNA) molecules are approximately 80 nucleotides in length. The record is from RNAcentral. Lineage: Eukaryota; Rhodophyta; Florideophyceae; Corallinales; Spongitidaceae.
UGUCUUGGUAGCUCAAUGGUUAGAGCAUAGAGUUGAAGAUUCUUGUGUUAUAGGUUCAAAUCCUAUUCAAGACAA